RNAcentral lists this ribosomal RNA (372 nucleotides) under uncultured organism. RNAcentral describes it as "partial 16S ribosomal RNA". It matches the Rfam family "Bacterial small subunit ribosomal RNA", at positions 527 to 896 of the family's 1533-position model. The record is from RNAcentral.
GUAGGUGGCAAGCGUUGUCCGGAAUUAUUGGGCGUAAAGCGCGCGCAGGUGGUUCUUUAAGUCUGAUGUGAAAGCCCCCGGGCUCAACCGGGGAGGGUCAUUGGAAACUGGGGAACUUGAGUGCAGGAGAGGAAAGUGGAAUUCCACGUGUAGCGGUGAAAUGCGUAGAUAUGUGGAGGAACACCAGUGGCGAAGGCGACUUUCUGGCCUGUAACUGACACUGAGGCGCGAAAGCGUGGGGAGCAAACAGGAUUAGAUACCCUGGUAGUCCACGCCGUAAACGAUGAGUGCUAAGUGUUGGGGGGUUUCCGCCCCUCAGUGCUGCAGCUAACGCAUUAAGCACUCCGCCUGGGGAGUACGGCCGCAGGACUG